GGGGAUUUAGCUCAGUGGUAGAGUGUUUGCCUAACAAGCGCAAAGCCCUGGGUUCGGUCCCAGCUCCG
RNAcentral lists this transfer RNA (68 nucleotides) under Rattus norvegicus (Norway rat). It matches the Rfam family "tRNA". Rfam says of the family: Transfer RNA (tRNA) molecules are approximately 80 nucleotides in length. The record is from Rfam by way of RNAcentral. Lineage: Eukaryota; Metazoa; Chordata; Mammalia; Rodentia; Muridae.